CUAAUUCUUGGAAGAGCCAUCAUAUGACAGUUGGUUUGGAAUGUCAUGGACUCAGAGUCAGUUGAGGGCUGAGCAGCUCACCGGUCACUGAGGGUGGUCAACUGGCCAUUGAAAGGCCCUGGGAGAGAAAGCUGACGGGGGCAAGAAACUUGGGGAUCGCCAUGGUUGAACUUCCCUCGUCCUUCCAAAGGGCUUGAUUUGGAGGAAAUCAUCCUAUUUUCUGUCAGAGAUUGAAUACCAAGUCAGGAGGAUGAACUUCUUGGAUGACCUAAUGGAAGACCUUAGCAGUGACAGUGCCAAGGGAAAGGCCCAUCUUUCCCCAAGGCCUCAGGUAAUGCCUGACACUUGUGCAAGAACCCAGGAAAAACCUAUACUUGAAUGGUCAAGUCAGGCCAGCAAAUACUGUGCAAGGAAUAGGCAGUGGAGGAGAGAGGUUGGCUUGUGGAGAACAUCAAGGACUCCAGCAGUGAGGUGGAAGACUCUCCAGAGCACAAGAGGAACAGAAACAUGGAUUUAUAACACGUUCUGGAAGAGAUACGGGGGCUUUGGAAAGGAAACAGGGAGAGCGGAGGAUUCAAGCUUGGCAGAAGGAGUCCCGCCACAUCCAGGCUUUGAGGGAAAUAGGAGAUGA
This 631-nucleotide long non-coding RNA is filed under the name Mustela putorius furo (domestic ferret). RNAcentral describes it as "lncRNA (ENSMPUG00000031208.1)". The record is from RNAcentral. Lineage: Eukaryota; Metazoa; Chordata; Mammalia; Carnivora; Mustelidae.